RNAcentral lists this unclassified non-coding RNA (720 nucleotides) under Hevea brasiliensis (rubber tree). Lineage: Eukaryota; Viridiplantae; Streptophyta; Magnoliopsida; Malpighiales; Euphorbiaceae. The record is from RNAcentral.
GUACCUCUGGGAUGAAGUCAAUCAGACCUUCAGGAAUAAGUAUAACACCAUAGUUAUAACCAAGUUCAGCACGUUUGCAGACUACAUCUACAAUGUAAUCUGUAACACUUUUCAGUGUUUGCUUUUGAGCAGAAACCUCUUCCCCAAUAAUAGUAAUGUUUGGAUGAGUCUGCAAAGCGCACUCUAGGGUGAUGUGGGAAGCAGCACGCCCCAUUAGCCGGACAAAAUGAUAGUAUUUUCCAGUUGAUCUAGCAUCUAUCAUGACAUUACCGAUCAUUUCUGCAUAUAUCCUGCAAGCUGUAUCAAAUCCGAAACUUGUGGGCACCUCUUUGCACUUCAGAUCUCCAUCAAUUGUUUUGGGGCAACCAAUUACCCGGGUCUUCAAAUUUUUACCUCUGAAGUUUUCAGCAAGAAGGCAGGCAUUUGUAUUGGAAUCAUCUCCACCAAUCACAACAAGCCCAUCCAAAUCAAGCUUUUUUGCUGUUUCUUCAGCUUGUUUGAACUGCUCAGGAGUUUCAAUUUUGUCCCUCCCACUGCAUAUCAUAUCAAACCCACCCUGAUUUCUGUAUGGAUAAAUGUAUUCUGCAGUCAAUUCCACAUAUUUACUUUUCAUAAUCCCGGCAGGGCCACCCCUGAAGCCAUAUAAUACACUGCCUUUGGCGUGAUCCUGCAAGUAAUCAAAAAUUCCAGAAAUCACAUUGUGUCCUCCGGGGGCCUGGC